GACCUGUUCGAGCCAGGCCUGGGAACCAUCAAGGGGCCACCGGUUCAAGGAGACUCCUGGGACCUUGGAGCACCGGUGUGGGUCCGCAACUUCGGCCAAGGUGAAAGAUGGUCACCGGGGACCGUCCAGAACAAGCUCGGGUCAAGGAUGCUGGUCAUCGAGACUCCGGAGGGAACAGUCCGUCGACACAUGGACCAGGUCCGCGGCAGACAAGGUCCGACUGAAAGUCUGGGUGGCCCUAAAAACGGUUCGGACAACGUCGGGCCGCCAGUGACACUAGGACAGCCGGACAGCCAGGGGCCACCGAGCGAGCAAGACGCGCCAGCCCCCGACGGUCAAGACCAACCAGCCUUACGACGCUCAACGCGGACACGGAAACCGAUCGAUCGUUUGCAAUAUUAAGAGGAGAAGAAAUGUUGCAUUGUCAUUGUUUACAUCCUAUCUAUUCGCUGUUAUCAAGCCGAUAG
Molecule: unclassified non-coding RNA, 467 nt
Filed under: Ixodes scapularis (black-legged tick)
Lineage: Eukaryota; Metazoa; Arthropoda; Arachnida; Ixodida; Ixodidae
Description: uncharacterized protein K02A2.6-like, transcript variant X2
Source: RNAcentral